UUUUUUUUUUUCUUUAGCUUUCUGAACUAAACACACUGUGCUUGUGCCUUCAACACUUUCCCAACAAUUUCCUGCUCCUCCAUGAGGAAAGCACAUUGCCUCCUUUCCCGGACACAUUCAGUACGUGCGGGACCACCUUGGGCCUUGCUGAUGUGUGUUUUCAUUUUAGAUAACCUCAUAAGAACUGUGGGUUCUGCCUGGGCACAUGCCACAUGCAGAUUUCGGUGCCUUUCGGACCGUCUUGGCAUAAAAGUAAACAAUUCUAUUGCCAGGGACUCAGGACGCCGAGUUUUGUUGGAGGCUGUAUCAUAGGAAAGCCUACAAUGGUGUGUCACACUCUGGGCCAUGCUGAGUGCCUAAACUCUAGACAUCUUUAAAAAACCUGACAGCUUUUCUAAGCCUGAACCUCUGCUAAAUCACUUAGUCCUGGCAACAACCCUAUGUGGUUGGGACCAUUAUUAUGCUCAUUUCCCAGAGGAGGGUCUAAAAGAGAGGGCAGAGUCUGGAUUUGAACCUAAGGGCCAGGCAUUUGCACAGGGGAGGCCCUCCCCAUAGAAAGGGUGGUGGAAGGGCAAGGCCACCUCUGUCACUGGGGCCGUGCUCUGGGGAGUUCCCUGAAGGCGGAUCUGAGGGAGGAGCAGGAGUUAGGUGGAAGAAAUAAGGGAGAUUGUUCCAGGAACCAAAGGAGCACAGCUCACUGAUGAUGGAGAUAUGGCAGAGGAGUUUAGGGCACUAGGAGACCCUGGCGGCCAGCAACUUCAUCCAGGGCAUCAAGCAAGCCAGUGUGGAGCAUGACCUGACCUGCAGCUGGUGAAUUGGGCAGGGUGUCUAUACAUUUGCAAGUACGACCCACCCUGAGAAGGGAGGCUGGUGGCCAGGAGGCUGAACCCCUGGGCUGGGAGUCAGGGUGACUGAGUCCAAACCUUUUGUGGCCACUCACUCACCCAGACCCUGGGCAAGUUACUUAACCUCACUAAGAAUUGAGGUCUUAGGAUUGUUGUGGGAAUAGCUAAGAUCAUGAGUGCAAAGUGCUGAACACUUAAUUCAUAUUGCUGUCUGUGUGGUUAUGUGGCUCUGAGAAUAUUUCUGUUCAGUUUCAAGAUGAGGAGACGGAGGUCCAGAGAGGCAGGGUGAUUGGUCUAAGGUUUCUCAGCCAGUCAAGGCCUCCAGGGCAGAGAUAUUUCCAGCACCCAAAUUGCCCUAGGGGAAGGCAACCAUGUGUGGUUGUGGGACAGUGGGUUGCCUCAUUGCCUAGAAGACCCCCAGGCCUCUCAGCCUCUCACCUCUGUGUCCUCCUGUUCCCACACACAGGUGAAGGCUCCGUGCAGUUAGACUCUGGUCAGGACAUCUGGGUGGGAGCCUGCUUCCAGUCUGAAGGAGGAACCCUGGGUCGGGGGUGGGCUCUGGGACCCUUGAGAGACCUGUGGCUAAGCCCCACCUCCAGGGAAGUGAUGGCCCCGGGAGGAGAAGACAGCCUGGGCGGACUCUCCCUGAAUUUCCCAUUUGUAAACAGUGCGGCUGGGGAGGGGUAGGGCCCAGUGCCCAGUUUCUGGUGGUGGAAGAUGGCAGCGGUCCAGCAGCUAAGCAGAGGGGCGGGUGGGGAUGAGCGAUGGCUGUGGCUGUCAGCUGCAGACACAAGGGAAGCAGGCUGGAGCCUGUGGCUAUUUCUCCUCCCUCCAGGACAUGUGACCUCCUGCUGUCCUCCUUGGCCAGCUCACAGCAUUACCCAGAGCUUGAGCUUGAGCACCAUGCCCAGCCCAGGAGCCAGCCACCUCUGAGAGUCAGCGGACAUUUUCCAACAGCCCCACUAGCCUUUCUCCUCUCCACCUUCCAGCCCCUUACCUGCCAUACACAGAACCCAGGGGAAGUUUCAAACUCCCUUUUUUAAAAAAGCCACAGCUGUGGUGAUAAAGUAAUAAGAGACCCUGCCUGAAUUCAGCCAAACCUGGAGUUGAAUCUUGUUUUGGUCACUUACUAGUUAAGGGACCUCAAGGUGGCCACUUCGCCUCUCUGGAACCUCAGAGUUUUCUCAGCUGUAAAGUGGGGCUAAUCCCAACGACCCUCAAGUUGCCAUAAAGGCUACAUGGGUGGAGUAAGAGCAUGCCAUAGGGAGCCAGAAAAUGUGUCAUGAAAGAAAGAACACUCUGAAAUAAGCACAUAACAGGCCCUCUGUAAAUAUUUACUGAUUAAAUAGCAGGUGGAAUCAAAGAGAAAUAAAUUAUCCCGUCAUCUGUGUCUUUUGUCUUUCUCUCCAGAAGCCUAAGGGAAUUAGAGGCAUUGACUAGGGGUGAGAGAAGAACAGGGUGAGACAGGGCAUAAUUCUUGGGGACGGAAGGCUGAGAACAUUCUUAAUGAUGUCAGCUCCCGUGUGCAGAAUACAUUACACUCUCUCAAGUGAUGCUGAUUCUCUCUGACAUUAAGGCUCUUCUGGAAGGGAGAUUCAGACACCACACCCAUGAAGACAGAUUUUAGGUUCUCAUCUGAUCUCUGUCUCUUACUAUUCAGCAGGCUUAGACCAGACUUAUGUCUCCUCUGAGCCUCUGUUUUCUUAUCUAUAAAGUGUGCAUCCUAAUACCAACUCUCAGGGCUAUUGUGAGGAUUAAAUGAGUCAGGGGACUCAUGCAAUGUAUGUCAAGUGCUUAGUGCUGGGCCUGGUGUAAAACAGGCCUUCAGCAAAUGGUAGCUGUCAUUAUGAUUACCUAUCCUAUCAGUUAGCUAUUGCUGUAUAAUAAACUACCCCCAAAUUUAGGGCCCGAAACAACCACCAUUUGUUUAGCUCAUGAUUCUGUGUGUCAGCCAUUUAGGUUGGGCUCAGCUAGGUGGUUCAUCUGGUCUUCUCCUGCAUCUGAAGUUGGCUGCAGGUAGGGUGGUGGUUCUGCUUCUGGGGGUAAGUUGGCUGUUGUCUGGGAUGAUGGAGUACUGACCCGGUUGCCUCUCAUGCUCCAGCAGGCUAACUUGGGCUUCUUCAUGAGGCAGUGGCAGGGUUUUGAGAGAGUGAGGCAAUGAGACAGAAGAAGUGGGGACAAGUAUGCAAAAUUCCUUGAGACUUAGAAUUGACACACUAUGUUUUCCCCCACAUUCCAUUAGCCAAAGGAAGUCACACAACCAGCCAUCAGAGAGGUGCUAGCUGCAUAGUCAUGUUGCAGAGAGCAUAGAUACAGGAAGGGGAAUAAGUGUGACUAUUUUUGCAAACAAUGACCACAUACAACUAAUUAGGGAACAUCUGAGACAGAACCACGUCCCCUCAACUCCCAGUGCCAUGACUUCCACCCUAGCUGCUCACUCUGCCCUGUGACACUGGCAGGAAAGCCGGUUG
RNAcentral lists this long non-coding RNA (3316 nucleotides) under Macaca fascicularis (crab-eating macaque). RNAcentral describes it as "lncRNA (ENSMFAG00000063625.1)". Lineage: Eukaryota; Metazoa; Chordata; Mammalia; Primates; Cercopithecidae. The record is from RNAcentral.